CCUACGGGCGGCAGCAGUGAGGAAUAUUGGUCAAUGGACGAGAGUCUGAACCAGCCAAGUAGCGUGAAGGAUGACUGCCCUAUGGGUUGUAAACUUCUUUUAUAUGGGAAUAAAAUGUUCCACGUGUGGGAUUUUGUAUGUACCAUAUGAAUAAGGAUCAGCUAACUCCGUGCCAGCAGCCGCGGUAAUACGGAGGAUCCGAGCGUUAUCCGGAUUUAUUGGGUUUAAAGGGAGCGUAGGUGGAUUGUUAAGUCAGUUGUGAAAGUUUGCGGCUCAACCGUAAAAUUGCAGUUGAAACUGGCAGUCUUGAGUACAGUAGAGGUGGGCGGAAUUCGUGGUGUAGCGGUGAAAUGCUUAGAUAUCACGAAGAACUCCGAUUGCGAAGGCAGUUCACUGGACUGCAACUGACACUGAGGCUCGAAAGUGUGGGUAUCAAACAGGAUUAGAUACCCUUGUAGUC
Molecule: ribosomal RNA, 460 nt
Filed under: uncultured bacterium
Lineage: Bacteria
Description: partial 16S ribosomal RNA
Rfam family: Bacterial small subunit ribosomal RNA
Source: RNAcentral